Molecule: long non-coding RNA, 928 nt
Filed under: Salmo salar (Atlantic salmon)
Lineage: Eukaryota; Metazoa; Chordata; Actinopteri; Salmoniformes; Salmonidae
Description: lncRNA (ENSSSAG00000095011.1)
Source: RNAcentral
GGGUGUGUGUAUGUAUGUGUGUCUGGAUUAAACCGUUUAUAACACAGUGUAAACACAGCCAUAUUGACUUCAGAGGUUGGAGGGGUGGAGGAGGAGGUAGAAGCAGCAGGGUUGGAGGGUUGGAGGAAAUAGUAGCAGCAGGGUUGUAGGGUUUUGAGGAGGAGGUAGAAGCAGUAGGUUUGGACAGUUGGAGGAGGUAGAAACAGCAGGGUUGGACGGUUGGAGACGGAGGAAGAAGCAGCAGGGUUGGAGGGUUGGAGGAGGAGGUAGAAGCAGCAGGGUUGGACGGUUGGAGGAGGAGGUAGUAGCAGCAGGGUUGGAGGGUUGGAUGAGGAGGUAGUAGCAGCAGGGUUGGCGGAUGAGGUAGAAGCGGUAGGGUUGGAGGAGGAGGUAGAAGCAGCAGUGUUGGACGGUUGGAGGAGAAGGUAGUAGCAGCAGGGUUGGAGGAGGAGGUAGAAGCAGCAGGGUUGGAGGGUUGGAUGAGGAGGUAGAAGUAGCAGGGUUGGAUGAGGAGGUGGUAGUAGUAGCGGGGUUAGUGUCGGAUGAGGAGGUAGUAGCAGCAGGCUUGGAUGAGGAGGUAGAAGCAGCAGGGUUGGCAGAUGAGGUAGAAGCGGUAGGGUUGGAAGAGAAGGUAGAAGCAGCAGGGUUGGACGGUUGGAGGAGAAGGUAGAAGCAGCAGGGUUGGAGGAGGAGGUAGAAGCAGCAGAGUUGGAGAAGGAGGUAGUAGUGGCAGGGUUGGACGGUUGGAGGAGGAGGUAGUAGCAGCAGGGUUGGACCGUUGGAGGAGGUAGAAGCAGCAGGGUUGGAGGGUUGGAGGAGGUAGAAGCAGCAGGGUUGGACGGUUGGAGGAGGAGGUAGAAGCAGCAGGGUUGGACCGUUGGAGGAGGUAGAAGCAGCAGGUUUGGAGGAGGAGGUAGAAGCAGCAGGG